AUUGAACGCUGGCGGCAGGCCUAACACAUGCAAGUCGAGCGGAUGAAGGGAGCUUGCUCCUGGAUUCAGCGGCGGACGGGUGAGUAAUGCCUAGGAAUCUGCCUGGUAGUGGGGGAUAACGUCCGGAAACGGGCGCUAAUACCGCAUACGUCCUGAGGGAGAAAGUGGGGGAUCUUCGUACCUCACGCUAUCAGAUGAGCCUAGGUCGGAUUAGCUAGUUGGUGGGGUAAAGGCCUACCAAGGCGACGAUCCGUAACUGGUCUGAGAGGAUGAUCAGUCACACUGGAACUGAGACACGGUCCAGACUCCUACGGGAGGCAGCAGUGGGGAAUAUUGGACAAAGGGCGAAAGCCUGAUCCAGCCAUGCCGCGUGUGUGAAGAAGGUCUUCGGAUUGUAAAGCACUUUAAGUUGGGAGGAAGGGCAGUAAGUUAAUACCUUGCUGUUUUGACGUUACCAACAGAAUAAGCACCGGCUAACUUCGUG
Molecule: ribosomal RNA, 484 nt
Filed under: uncultured bacterium
Lineage: Bacteria
Description: partial 16S ribosomal RNA
Rfam family: Bacterial small subunit ribosomal RNA
Source: RNAcentral